GGCCGCCGAGGCGCCGCAGCCAACGGGCGGCCGAGGGUGCAGCGGCGGGAGCGCCACCGCCAGUGGGGUGGGGGCAAAGCUAUAAAGAAGACCCAGAGAAGUCCUUGGAAUUUUGGAGAAAGAGAAAAUGAUCAUUACCAGAGUUGGCGCAGCUGAAAUAAAUGACUGUCCAAGGCAGUGUUCAUAACAAUGAUCCAGAGAAGUUUCCAACAAGAGUGAACAGCAAUUGUGUCUGACUUAAAGGGACAAUGGUGACUCGUUUGUGAGAUGCAUACGGCAAAGAACAGAGUCAAAAUCCUUAGAUUCCUGCGGGGCUGUGCUCAUUUUACAUCCGUGUGAACUGCUGUCAUCACUACUGUGUCCGAGCCCAGAGGAUGAACUGGAAAAGAAGAGAGGGGGAAAAUAAUAAAAAGAGGAAAUUGGUUUUCACAACACACUCAAAGCCUGAGUAACAGAGGAGAACUUUAAUUAUCUCCAGUCACAAAGAGAGACAGGAAAUUUGGACUUUUAAUUAGCCAUUUGGAGUGCAGUUGGAUAUUUUUUUAGCUAGAUAAUUUAAACGCGAAUAAUUCAAGUCUGACUAAAUGAAAGUCACAUAAUCAGAAUGCAGAUAAUUGAAUUUCUACUGCGUUCAUUAAUUCAGUGUGGAGGUGUGUGUGAAGACUACUAUGAUGAGCUGUCACAGCUCAAUAAAAUCUCAGUCAAUUAAUUUUUUCAUUAUCUUAGUAUUACAUCAACAAAACAGUGAGGGAAACGUCUGUUCAUCAAGGCAAACUUGUGAAUUGCGUCUUCUACCGAGUACUUCGUCUGCCCGGAGACGCAGGCCUCAAUGUCUUCCGAAUUCAAAUGGCUCUGCAGGAA
Molecule: long non-coding RNA, 861 nt
Organism: Neofelis nebulosa (Clouded leopard)
Lineage: Eukaryota; Metazoa; Chordata; Mammalia; Carnivora; Felidae
Exons: 4
Source: RefSeq, a predicted model, not a curated record